GCCUACGGGGGGCAGCAGUGGGGGAUAUUGCACAAUGGGGGGAACCCUGAUGCAGCGACGCCGCGUGGGUGAAGAAGCGCCUCGGCGCGUAAAGCCCUGUCAGCAGGGAAGAAAAUGACGGUACCUGAAGAAGAAGCCCCGGCUAACUACGUGCCAGCAGCCGCGGUAAUACGUAGGGGGCAAGCGUUAUCCGGAUUUACUGGGUGUAAAGGGGGCGCAGACGGCGAUGCAAGCCAGGAGUGAAAGCCCGGGGCCCAACCCCGGGACUGCUCUUGGAACUGCGUGGUUGGAGGGCAGGAGGGGCG
RNAcentral lists this ribosomal RNA (305 nucleotides) under uncultured bacterium. RNAcentral describes it as "partial 16S ribosomal RNA". It matches the Rfam family "Bacterial small subunit ribosomal RNA", at positions 337 to 659 of the family's 1533-position model. The record is from RNAcentral.